UAUGUCUUACUUUUUCCACUCAACACAAUCCAUGGGCACAUCUACAGUGUUAGAAAAAAAUGAAAGCAACUGGAGUUUCAAGAUGUCUCAGCUUAUCAGAGCACGCAGAGGCAUCGGAGCUGUGGCACCAGAGCUGUGGCAUUCAGCCUCACGGGACACAGGAAGACUCGGGAAGGUUUUUAAGGAGACAAGAACUGCUUGCCAUGUACACUGCUAGAAA
Long non-coding RNA from Talpa occidentalis (Iberian mole), 220 nucleotides. RefSeq lists it as uncharacterized. The transcript has 3 exons. The record is from RefSeq and is a predicted model, not a curated record. NCBI's taxonomy places the organism in Eukaryota, Metazoa, Chordata, Mammalia, Eulipotyphla, Talpidae.